GUCUGCUCAUAAGAGUAGGUGCCGUACGUUAACACAUUAAGCACUCCGCCUGGGGAGUACGUACGCAAGUAUGAAACUCAAAGGAAUUGACGGGGACCCGCACAAGCAGCGGAGCAUGUGGUUUAAUUCGAGGCUACGCGAAGAACCUUACCAGGACUUGACAUACCAAGGAAAGUUUUUAGAGAUAAAAACCCUAGAUUUAUCUACCUUGGAUACAGGUGGUGCAUGGUUGUCGUCAGCUCGUGUCGUGAGAUGUUGGGUUAAGUCCCGCAACGAGCGCAACCCUUACAUUUAGUUACUAACAGGUAGUGCUGAGGACUCUAGAUGGACUGCCGAUGACAAAUCGGAGGAAGGUGGGGAUGACGUCAAAUCAUCAUGCCCUUUAUACCCAGGGCUUCACACAUGCUACAAUGGUCGGUACAAAGAGAAGCUAAAUAGCGAUAUCAAGCAAACCUCAAAAAACCGAUCCCAGUUCGGAUUGAUCUCUGCAACUCGAGAUCAUGAAGCCGGAGUUGCUAGUAAUCGCAGAUCAGAAUGCUGCGGUGAAUGCGUUCCCGGGUCUUGUACACACCGCCCGUCACACCAUGGGAGUAGGCAAUACCCGAAGCCUGUGAGCUAACCAUUUGGAGGCAGCAGUCGAAGGUAGGGUCAAUGACUGGGGUGAAGUCGUAACAAGGUAGCCGUAUCGGAAGGUGCGGCUG
Molecule: ribosomal RNA, 701 nt
Filed under: human oral metagenome
Description: bacterial SSU rRNA
Rfam family: Bacterial small subunit ribosomal RNA
Source: RNAcentral